Molecule: ribosomal RNA, 254 nt
Filed under: uncultured bacterium
Lineage: Bacteria
Description: partial 16S ribosomal RNA
Rfam family: Bacterial small subunit ribosomal RNA
Source: RNAcentral
UACGUAGGGUGCGAGCGUUAAUCGGAAUUACUGGGCGUAAAGCGUGCGCAGGCGGUUGUGCAAGACCGAUGUGAAAUCCCCGGGCUUAACCUGGGAAUGGCAUUGGUGACUGCACGGCUAGAGUGUGUCAGAGGGGGGUAGAAUUCCACGUGUAGCAGUGAAAAUGCGUAGAGAUGUGGAGGAAUACCGAUGGCGAAGGCAGCCCCCUGGGAUAACACUGACGCUCAUGCACGAAAGCGUGGGGAGCAAACAGG